Molecule: ribosomal RNA, 427 nt
Filed under: Pseudomonas sp.
Lineage: Bacteria; Pseudomonadati; Pseudomonadota; Gammaproteobacteria; Pseudomonadales; Pseudomonadaceae
Also listed under: 1 other name
Description: partial 16S ribosomal RNA
Rfam family: Bacterial small subunit ribosomal RNA
Source: RNAcentral
UGGGGAAUAUUGGACAAUGGGCGAAAGCCUGAUCCAGCCAUGCCGCGUGUGUGAAGAAGGUCUUCGGAUUGUAAAGCACUUUAAGUUGGGAGGAAGGGCAGUUACCUAAUACGUGAUUGUUUUGACGUUACCGACAGAAUAAGCACCGGCUAACUCUGUGCCAGCAGCCGCGGUAAUACAGAGGGUGCAAGCGUUAAUCGGAAUUACUGGGCGUAAAGCGCGCGUAGGUGGUUUGUUAAGUUGGAUGUGAAAUCCCCGGGCUCAACCUGGGAACUGCAUUCAAAACUGACUGACUAGAGUAUGGUAGAGGGUGGUGGAAUUUCCUGUGUAGCGGUGAAAUGCGUAGAUAUAGGAAGGAACGCCAGUGGCGAAGGCGACCACCUGGACUAAUACUGACACUGAGGUGCGAAAGCGUGGGGAGCAAACA